This 492-nucleotide ribosomal RNA is filed under the name uncultured bacterium. RNAcentral's name for it is "partial 16S ribosomal RNA". It matches the Rfam family "Bacterial small subunit ribosomal RNA", at positions 29 to 507 of the family's 1533-position model. The record is from RNAcentral.
AGUGAACGCUGGCGGUAGGCCUAACACAUGCAAGUCGAACGGCAGCACAGUAAGAGCUUGCUCUUACGGGUGGCGAGUGGCGGACGGGUGAGGAAUACAUCGGAAUCUACUUUUUCGUGGGGGAUAACGUAGGGAAACUUACGCUAAUACCGCAUACGACCUACGGGUGAAAGCAGGGGAUCUUCGGACCUUGCGCGAUUGAAUGAGCCGAUGUCGGAUUAGCUAGUUGGCGGGGUAAGGGCCCACCAAGGCGACGAUCCGUAGCUGGUCUGAGAGGAUGAUCAGCCACACUGGAACUGAGACACGGUCCAGACUCCUACGGGAGGCAGCAGUGGGGAAUAUUGGACAAUGGGCGCAAGCCUGAUCCAGCAAUACUGCGUGGGUGAAGAAGGCCUUCGGGUUGUAAAGCCCUUUUGUUGGGAAAGAAAAGCAGCAGGUUAAUACCCCGCUGUUCUGACGGUACCCAAAGAAUAAGCACCGGCUAACUUCGUG